RNAcentral lists this long non-coding RNA (5046 nucleotides) under Homo sapiens (human). RNAcentral's name for it is "non-protein coding lnc-SPZ1-1:9". The record is from RNAcentral. Lineage: Eukaryota; Metazoa; Chordata; Mammalia; Primates; Hominidae.
ACUUCCCGGUUGGGGCGCCGAGCUCCGGAGUCGGCCGCCAGCCUUUGGGCCCCACGCUCCGGGUCUGGUGCGCGGUCUGGCCGCGCUCGGGCCCUCGCCAAAUGAGAGCGCAGCGCCUCUCCGCCUUCGGAUCCAGAGAAAGAGCUUGUUGCUGCCUCUAAAAGGUUGGAGCCUUAGUAAGCGGUUCCUGCCUUUCCUGCACAGACCAGACCGCCGGGUGCUGGUCUGCGCUCUGCCGCGCGCCGACUGGGACAGCCCACCCACGAGAUCCUUGUUCCUGAAAUCCCUUUCCUUCCCUCAUCUGCCAAGAAAACUUUCAACUUUUGGGCUCUCCGCGCCUCCCAAGCUUCCUCGAAUCCCUGGGCCCUUGACUGUUCUGCCCUGAUGGCACUUGGUGAGAGAUCCAUUGAGAGCCCUUUCCGUGCCUUCCUGAAUAUUGAUAUGUUUUCCAGCCUCUCCUCCUGCGCUGGCCCAAGGACUCAUUUUCCGUCCCUGCUUCCUCACUAAAAAGAGGGUGCCCAAUAAUUGCUUGUUCCAUACAGAAGGCAGGGAGGCCGUCUCUAGGUUUUCUCCCACUCAGAUCUGCUGUCCUCACAGCCACCUCCCCAAGAGGAAUGAAGGUAUUUCUUUUUUUUUUUUCUUUUUUUUCUCUGAGACGGAGCUUCACUCUGUCGCCCAGGCUGGAGUGCAGUGACGCGAUCUCGGCUCACUGCAACCUCUGCCUCCCGAGUAGCUGGGAUUACAGGCGCCUGCCACCACGCCCGGCUAAUUUUUUGUAUUUUUAGUAGAGACGGGGUUUCACCAUCUUGGCCAGGCUGGUCUCGAACUCCUGACCUCAGGUGAUCCGCCCGCCUCGGCCUCCCAAAGUGCUGGGAUUACAGGCGUGAGCCACCGCGCCCUGCCGGAAUGAAGAUAUUUCUGUUAGUGCGAUUUUUGCGCCAAUCCCUUUGCUCUUUCAAAUAAGCAUUACCGUACCCAUUUUAGCGGUGAGGCAACUGAAGCCCAGAGAGGUUAAAUAACUUGCCCAAAGCCUCACAGCAAAGUUGAGGAAGUAAAACUGGGCCUGGAAUCCACUCGUCUGAUCCCCUGGCACAUGACGCAAGGCUUGACCUUAGAGGGACUCGUUUCCAGACAGAGCUCUGGCAAAGGAGUGUCUUGGGCAGCUUAGGAGUAGAAGAGGAAAGGUGAAUGGAAACCAGGCCUUGGGUUAUGAGCUGCGCAGGAUUUUCCAGCAUCUCAGAUGCAGGCGUUUAGAGAAAGAGAUAUAAUGGAGCAGGCCCUACUCAGAGCCACGAAAAGGAAUGAGGACAGUUGGCUCUAACUCAAAACAAAAAUAGGGUAAACCCAAUCAGUCAAGCGCAGCAACCUGCUCCGUGGCGAUCUGUGACUCAUCAGAAGCUGAGGCUCUCACCAGGACUUUCUAAUGAGCUUCGCUGUUGGCUACGACCGCGGUCACUUCACUUCAGCCCUACUCCUGGCCUGGGGAAAUGGGCAGGCCCCCUAGUAGCUCGGGGUGGGGAGACGGGUGGAGAGGAAGGAGGGGCGAAAAGGGAAGGCGCGAAAUCUACAAAUGUUUAAGCCAGCUGGAACUCCGAUGCCUCUUUGCCUUUUAGGGAAAUUGACUCGACUCGGAACUCGAGGACCUUUCACAAGAGACCACUGGGUUAGGGGGCAGAGCUGGUAAUAGAAUCCAGCGCUCCGAACCCUGAAUCAUGUCCUCUUUUUGCUGCUGAGGCUCAGGCCACAGCACCCCAAAUUAUGACUGUAGAAUACCAAAAUAUGCUAUCCCAAAAUACACUUGUUUGGCACAUUUCAAGCUGGUUAUUCUGAGAAACUGCAGACACGGGAGUAGCUCUGAAAAGCUGUCCUUUUGUAAAGCAAAUUUACAUCUAUAAAGGAAGUCCACAUAGUAAAAGUAUCUGUGUCAGGAAGGCAGCUGCUCAGAGAACUUUUAUUACAUGAGAGACUUUACAUAACAAGGCAACUUUUUUUUUUUUUUUUUUUUUUUUUUUUGAGGCAGAGUCUCGCUCAGUCGCCCAGGCUGGAGUGCAUUGGCAUGAUCCCGGCUCACUGCAACCUCCGCCCCCCGGGUUCAAGCGAUUCUCCGGCCUCAGCCUCUGAAGUAGCCGGGAUUACAGGCGCGCGCCACCGCGCCCGGGUAAUUUUUGUAUUUUUAGUAGAGACGGGGUUUCACCAUGUUGGUCAGGCUGGUCUCGAACUCCUGACCUCGUGAUCCGCCCACCUCGGCCUCCCAAAGUGCUGGGAUUACAGGUGUGAGCCACCGCGCGCAGCCACAAGGCAACAUUAUUUACCAUACAUUUCCUCCACUAACCCUCCUAUAUCCUACCUGUGGUGCCUCCCCACUGUCCCCACAGAAGCCCCAAGCCCUUAUUUAUUUCUAGCUCAGAAUGCUAUAAGCUUCAAUCAUCUGGCCCUUCAUGUUUUGUGAGAUUCCUGUGCUGCUGCGUAUGCAGGUAAUUAAAACGGUUUUUCUUCUGUUAAUCUGUCUUAUGUCGGCCAGGCGUGGUGGCUCAUGCCUGUAAUCCCAGCACUUUGGGAGGCCGAGGUGGGCGGAUCACGAGGUCAGGAGUUUGAGACCAGCCUGACCAACAUGGUGCAACCCCAUCUCUACUAAAAAUACAAAAGAAGUAGCCGGGCGAGGUGGUGCGCACCUGUAAUCCCAGUUACUCAGAAGCUGAGGCAGGAGAAUCGCUUGAACCCAGGAGGCGGAAGUUGCAGUUAGCCGAGAUUGUGCCACAGCACUCCAGCCUGGGCGACAGAGCAAGAUACCGUCUCAAAAAAAAAAAAAAAAAUCUCUGUUAUGUCAAUUUAAUUUGCAAUCCAAGUAAAGAACCUAGAAGGGUAGAGGGAAGCCAUUUUUCCCUCCCCUACAUUGCUAGUUCCAUGCCAAUGUGAGAGGACUCUGAGAAUGUGGAUGUCUGCCACCUGGAGAAAGAGUCUUAAUAACCUGGGCACUUGGCCAGGCACGGUGGCUCACACCUGUCAUCCCAGCAUUUUCAGAGGCAAAGGUGGGUGGAUCACCUGUGGUUAGGAGUUCAAGACCAGCCUGGCCAACAUGGCGAAACCCUGUCUCUACUAAAAAUACAAAAAUUAGCCAGGCAGGGUGGUGGGCACCUGUAAUUUCAGCUACUCAGGAGGCUGAGGCAGGAGAAUCACUUGAACCCAGGAGGCGGAGGUUGCAGUUAGCCUAGAUGGUGCCAUUGCACCCCAGCCUGGGCAACAAGAGCAAAAUUCUAUCUCAAUAGAUAAAUAAAUAAAUAACCUGGGGACUUGUAGCCUCUAUUGAAAGGUACCAGAAAAGGAUAAAGCCUGAGUUUUCAAGCCAGGAAGUUGCAAAUUCUAACUCUACCAAGAAGUAGCUGGGUGACCUCCAAGCCUCAGUUUCCUCAUCUUCAAAACCAGGUUAAUAGUGUCAGAGGCAUUUGAACCAGAGAGACUCCAUCUUGAAUAGGGACUGGGUAAAAUAAGGCUGUGACCUGCUGGGCUGUAUUCCCAGGAAGUUAAGGCAUUCUUCGAGGAUGAGAUGGUGGGGGUCAGCACAAGAUACAGGUCACAAAGACCUUGCUGGUAAAAUAGGAUGUAGUAAAGGAGCCGGCCAAAACCCAUCAAAAUCAAGAUGGCGACCAAAGUGAGCUCUGGUCGUGCCCACUGCUCAUUAUACACUAAUUAUAAUUCAUUAGCAUGCUAAAAGACACUCCCACCAGCACCAGGACAGUUUACAAACAUCAGGAAGUUACCCUAUAUGGUCUAAAGGAGGAGGAACCCUCAGUUCUGGGAAUUGCCCAUCCCUUUCGCGGAAAACUCAUGAAUAAUCCACCCCUUGUUUAGCAUAUAAUCAAGAAAUAACUAUAAUUAGUUGAGCAGCCCAUGCUGCAGCUCUGCCUAUGGAGUAGCCAUUCUUUACCUCCUUUACUUCUCUAAUAAAUUUGAUUUCACUUUAUGGACUUGCCCCAAAUUCUUUCUUGCGUGAGGUUCAAGAACCCUCUCUUGUGGACUGGAUGAGGACCCCACUCUGGUAACAAUAUACUUUUUGUCCAGUCACAUUUCUACAUGGCUGUCCAUACUCUGUUGAAUGUAAGCAUAAGAAUGGACAAUUUUGCUGUAUCUUUGGAUCUUCAUUCUGAAGGCUCCCAUGGCAUGUAAAACUAUGAUCAAAUAAAUUUGUAUGCCUUUUUUCCUUUUAAUCUGCCUUGUCGGUUGAUUUUCAGUGAAACUUCAGAGGGUAAAGGGGAAGUUUGCCCUUCACCCCUACAUGGUCAAGCUCAAGAUACCAAAAGACAUCAGCUGAAAAUUCAAUCAACUUGCCUGAAUCAUCCACCCCAAGCUUAGGAAGCAUGCUUGAACCCACCUGGCCAAGGCUGGUUUUGCCGGCCAAAGUCCAAGGCCAAGGCUCCAACCAAAGCCCAGACUUCAGUUGCAGCUCCAGUUCCAGUUCCAGUUCCAGCUCCAGUUCCAGUUCCAGUUCCAGCUCCAGAUCAAAUUUCCAAGGGUGCCCAUGCACACCCACAAAGGAUCUGGAGGAGAGGCCUCUGUCUACCAAUGGGAGGACAGAAGGACUGGUGUGAGCCCUGGGCUGCCAUCUGUUUCUGCAUGGAGCUGGUACCAUUCUUUUCUAUUUAUACAAACAAACAUGAGGCAGGAUCUGUCCAUUAAAAAAAAGAGGCCGGGCACAGUGGCUCAUGCCUAUAAUCCCAGCAUUUUAGGAGGCCGAGGUGGGUAAAUCACCUGAGGUUGGGAGUUCGAGACCAGCCUGGCCAAUAUGGUGAAACCUCUUCUCUACUAAAAAUACAAAAAUUAGCCGAGCGUCGCGGCACAUCUUUAAUCCCAGCUCCUCAGGAGGCUGAGGCACAAGAAUCACUUGAACCCAGGAGGUGGAGGUUGCAGUAAGCCGAGAAAACACCACUACACUCCAGCCUAGGCGACAGAAUGAGGCUCCAUCUUGAAAAGAAAAAGAAAAUUAAAAAGAAACAGUCUAUACAGGCUCAUUCCCUUUCCCCACUCAGAGUUUUUUCAAAGGAAUGUGGC